This 548-nucleotide ribosomal RNA is filed under the name uncultured bacterium. Its description in RNAcentral is "bacterial SSU rRNA". It matches the Rfam family "Bacterial small subunit ribosomal RNA", at positions 957 to 1498 of the family's 1533-position model. The record is from RNAcentral.
CAACGCGAAGAACCUUACCUGGUCUUGACAUCCCGGGAAUCUCCUGGAAACAGGAGAGUGCUUUCAUUAGGAAGAGCCCGGUGACAGGUGCUGCAUGGCUGUCGUCAGCUCGUGUCGUGAGAUGUUGGGUUAAGUCCCGCAACGAGCGCAACCCUCGCCUUUAGUUGCCAUCAGGUCAAGCUGGGCACUCUAAGGGGACUGCCGGUGUCAAACCGGAGGAAGGUGGGGAUGACGUCAAGUCCUCAUGGCCUUUAUGACCAGGGCUACACACGUACUACAAUGGCCGGUACAAAGGGCAGCCACAGGGCGACCUGGAGCGAAUCCCGGAAAGCCGGUCUCAGUCCGGAUUGGAGUCUGCAACUCGACUCCAUGAAGUUGGAAUCGCUAGUAAUCGUGGAUCAGCAUGCCACGGUGAAUACGUUCCCGGGCCUUGUACACACCGCCCGUCACACCACGGAAGUCGGUUGUACCAGAAGCAGUUGAGCUAACCUUCGGGAGGCAGGCUGCCAAGGUAUGGCUGGUAACUGGGGUGAAGUCGUAACAAGGUA